RNAcentral lists this ribosomal RNA (447 nucleotides) under uncultured bacterium. RNAcentral describes it as "bacterial SSU rRNA". It matches the Rfam family "Bacterial small subunit ribosomal RNA", at positions 355 to 825 of the family's 1533-position model. The record is from RNAcentral.
UCGGGAAUUUUGGGCAAUGGGCGAAAGCCUGACCCAGCAACGCCGCGUGAAGGAUGAAGUAUUUCGGUAUGUAAACUUCGAAAGAAUAGGAAGAAUAAAUGACGGUACUAUUUAUAAGGUCCGGCUAACUACGUGCCAGCAGCCGCGGUAAUACGUAGGGACCAAGCGUUGUUCGGAUUUACUGGGCGUAAAGGGCGCGUAGGCGGCAAUUCAAGUCAUCUGUGAAAUCUCCGGGCUUGACUCGGAACGGUCAGAUGAUACUGCUUUGCUAGAGUGCAGAAGGGGCAAUCGGAAUUCUUGGUGUAGCGGUGAAAUGCGUAGAUAUCAAGAGGAACACCUGAGGUGAAGACGGGUUGCUGGGCUGACACUGACGCUGAGGCGCGAAAGCCAGGGGAGCAAACGGGAUUAGAUACCCCAGUAGUCCCUGAGCGGGCUGGCAAGGCGCAU